RNAcentral lists this ribosomal RNA (253 nucleotides) under uncultured bacterium. RNAcentral describes it as "partial 16S ribosomal RNA". It matches the Rfam family "Bacterial small subunit ribosomal RNA", at positions 524 to 776 of the family's 1533-position model. The record is from RNAcentral.
UACGAAGGGGGCGAGCGUUGUUCGGAUUUACUGGGCGUAAAGGGCGCGUAGGCGGCUAUUCAAGUCAGGCGUGAAAGCCCCGGGCUCAACCUGGGAGGUGCGCUUGGGACUGGGUGGCUGGAGUUCGGGAGAGGAGAGUGGAAUUCCCAGUGUAGAGGUGAAAUUCGUAGAUAUUCGCAAGAACACCAGUGGCGAAGGCGGCUCACUGGCCCGGUACUGACGCUGAGGUGCGAAAGCGUGGGGAGCAAACAGG